RNAcentral lists this ribosomal RNA (497 nucleotides) under uncultured bacterium. RNAcentral's name for it is "partial 16S ribosomal RNA". It matches the Rfam family "Bacterial small subunit ribosomal RNA", at positions 28 to 507 of the family's 1533-position model. The record is from RNAcentral.
GAUGAACGCCGGCGGCGUGCCUAAUACAUGCAGGUCGAGCGAACGGACGAGAAGCUUGCUUCUCUGAUGUUAGCGGCGGACGGGUGAGUAACACGUGGAUAACCUACCUAUAAGACUGGGAUAACUUCGGGAAACCGGAGCUAAUACCGGAUGAUAUUUUGAACCGCAUGGUUCAAAAGUGAAAGACGGUCUUGCUGUCACUUAUAGAUGGAUCCGCGCUGUAUUAGCUAGUUGGUAAGGUAACGGCUUACCAAGGCAACGAUGCAUAGCCGACCUGAGAGGGUGAUCGGCCACACUGGAACUGAGACACGGUCCAGACUCCUACGGGAGGCAGCAGUAGGGAAUCUUCCGCAAUGGGCGAAAGCCUGACGGAGCAACGCCGCGUGAGUGAUGAAGGUCUUCGGAUCGUAAAACUCUGUUAUUAGGGAAGAACAUAUGUGUAAGUAACUGUGCACAUCUUGACGGUACCUAAUCAGAAAGCCACGGCUAACUACGUG